ACGACUGAGCGACUUCACGUUCUACUUUCUACUUCUAGCUAGUGGGGGUUUCCUUAGUCCUUGUACACUUGGGAGAACGAGUUUGGGUCUCUGGAGUUAGAAGCAAGACUGGAUAGACUUAAGGGAGCUGAAACUCACAGAAGAAGAUCAAGUACAGAAUAUAUUUCAGAUGAAGUCUAGAAUAUGGCGUGGUCUUCCCGGCCAUCUCUUUCUUCUGCCUUGUGGACAGAGGUCCGCAACAGUCUUUAUACUGCAUUUAUAUUUGAGGUGGAGGAUAUUCAUGCUAUCGCGGAUUAAUCCUUUUAAUGUAACAGUGGAAUUGUUGUGUCAUGUGUGCAUGUUGGUGAGGAAACUGUUGUUUUGGAGUCAUUCACUACUGGAUGAAAGAAAUUUGGAAGUAAGUCAAGAGAGAACAAAAUAUGAUUUGAUAGAAGGAAGUGAAGUUGUUUGCUUUAUUAACAUCACUUUACCAGGUGCAGAGUCUUUUGGCCUUCCUAAAGUACUGAAAUAUAUUCCUUAUAAAAGGACACUAAGUAAUUUAAAGCUCUCUGUCUCAGAACUAUUGAUUUAUUGAUGUUUUGGUUGUAGUAAAAUAUACAUAACAUAAAAUUUACCACAUAAACUAUUUUUAAACAUAUAGUUUAUUGGCAUUAAGUACACUCACAUUAUUGUACAACAAUCGUCACCAUCAAUCUCCAGAGCUUUUUCACUGCAGA
RNAcentral lists this long non-coding RNA (716 nucleotides) under Capra hircus (goat). Its description in RNAcentral is "lncRNA (ENSCHIG00010002108.1)". Lineage: Eukaryota; Metazoa; Chordata; Mammalia; Artiodactyla; Bovidae. The record is from RNAcentral.